AUUGAACGCUGGCGGCAGGCCUAACACAUGCAAGUCGAACGGUAACAGGAAGCAGCUUGCUGCUUUGCUGACGAGUGGCGGACGGGUGAGUAAUGUCUGGGAAACUGCCUGAUGGAGGGGGAUAACUACUGGAAACGGUAGCUAAUACCGCAUAACGUCGCAAGACCAAAGAGGGGGACCUUCGGGCCUCUUGCCAUCGGAUUUGCCCAGAUUGGAUUAGCUAGUAGGUGGGGUAAAGGCUCACCUAGGCGACGAUCCCUAGCUGGUCUGAGAGGAUGACCAGCCACACUGGAACUGAGACACGGUCCAGACUCCUACGGGAGGCAGCAGUGGGGAAUAUUGCACAAUGGGCGCAAGCCUGAUGCAGCCAUGCCGCGUGUAUGAAGAAGGCCUUCGGGUUGUAAAGUACUUUCAGCGGGGAGGAAGGGAGUAAAGUUAAUACCUUUGCUCAUUGACGUUACCCGCAGAAGAAGCACCGGCUAACUCCGUG
RNAcentral lists this ribosomal RNA (490 nucleotides) under uncultured bacterium. RNAcentral's name for it is "partial 16S ribosomal RNA". It matches the Rfam family "Bacterial small subunit ribosomal RNA", at positions 30 to 507 of the family's 1533-position model. The record is from RNAcentral.